UCGGCUUAGAGUUUGAUCAUGGCUCACAUUGAACGCUGGCGGCAGGCCUAACACAUGCCAGUCCAGCGGUAGGGAAGCUUGCUUCUCACGAGCGGCGGACGGGUGAGUAAUGUAUGGGGAUCUGCCCGAUAGAGGGGGAUAACUACUGGAAACGGUAGCUAAUACCGCAUAAUCUCUAAGGAGCAAAGCAGUCCGUUGCGCUAUCGGAUGAACCCAUAUGGGAUUAGCUAGUUGGUGAGGUAAUGGCUCACCAAGGCGACUAUCCCUAGCUGGUCUGAGAGGAUGAUCAGCCACACUGGGACUGAGACACGGCCCAGACUCCUACCGGAGGCAGCAGUGGGGAAUAUUGCACAAUGGGCGCAAGCCUGAUGCAGCCAUGCCGCGUGUAUGAAGAAGGCCUUAGGGUUGUAAAGUACUUUCAGUUGGGAGGAAGGCGUUGAUUAAUAUCAACGAUUGACGUUACCAACAGAAGAAGCACCGGCUAACUCCGUGCCAGCAGCCGCGGUAAUACGGAGGGUGCAAGCGUUAAUCGGAAUUACUGGGCGUAAAGCGCACGCAGGCGGUUGAUUAAGUUAGAUGUGAAAUC
Molecule: ribosomal RNA, 586 nt
Filed under: uncultured Providencia sp.
Lineage: Bacteria; Pseudomonadati; Pseudomonadota; Gammaproteobacteria; Enterobacterales; Morganellaceae
Description: bacterial SSU rRNA
Rfam family: Bacterial small subunit ribosomal RNA
Source: RNAcentral